RNAcentral lists this ribosomal RNA (504 nucleotides) under uncultured Glomus. RNAcentral's name for it is "SSU rRNA". It matches the Rfam family "Eukaryotic small subunit ribosomal RNA", at positions 569 to 1077 of the family's 1831-position model. Lineage: Eukaryota; Fungi; Glomeromycota; Glomeromycetes; Glomerales; Glomeraceae. The record is from RNAcentral.
AGCAGCCGCGGUAAUUCCAGCUCCAAUAGCGUAUAUUAAAGUUGUUGCAGUUAAAAAGCUCGUAGUUGAAUUUCGGGAUCAGUACGCCGGUCGUGCCUUCGGUAUGCACUGGUGUCACUGAUUCCUCCCUUCUGAAGAACCGUUAUGCCAUUUAUUUGGUGUGGCGGGGAAUCAGGACUGUUACUUUGAAAAAAUUAGAGUGUUUAAAGCAGGCUCGCGCUUGAAUACAUUAGCAUGGAAUAAUGAAAUAGGACGUUUGAUUCUAUUUUGUUGGUUUCUAGGAUCGACGUAAUGAUUAAUAGGGAUAGUUGGGGGCAUUAGUAUUCAAUUGUCAGAGGUGAAAUUCUUGGAUUUAUUGAAGGCUAACUACUGCGAAAGCAUUUGCCAAGGAUGUUUUCAUUAAUCAAGAACGAAAGUUAGGGGAUCGAAGACGAUCAGAUACCGUCGUAGUCUUAACCAUAAACUAUGCCGACUAGGGAUCGGAUGAUGUUAAUUUUUUAAUGA